CGUAAGANAAUCUGACGAUAUUCAUCACCGCUCCYSGAGACGCUCCUCKCGUCCUUUGCUCGGAGUCGGCCAACCGCGUGCGGUAACACACGGGASACCAUCUUCCGUCUCACCCGUCCCUCCGAUAAGGAUAUGGUGGGGGGAAUUACCAUUUGUGACGCCCAAGAAGAGUUGCCCACGGCCAAAAGGAUUAGGGCGCAAUUUGCGUCCCCGGACUCGAUGGUUCACGGGAUUCUGCAAUUCACAAAAAGUAUCNNUUUCGCUACGUUCUUCAUCGAUGCGAGAGCUCASAUAUCCRUUGCCGAGAGUCGUUUUGCACUUUAGAUUUGUSAAUUGANCAUCCACGGACACCCCGUCUCCGGGGUCGCGAAUGCSAGCCCGUUCCUUGCAUGUUCCUUGACACUUUUCUGGCCGUGGUUUGGUUAAGUCCGGAAGCAACGCGCWAAGGCCGGAUCCGGACGUGAGUCCAAAUCUGGGACMGUUCGCGAAACCACGGAACCGGCGGGCAACGGAAUCUGU
This 519-nucleotide unclassified non-coding RNA is filed under the name Alyssum wulfenianum subsp. ovirense. RNAcentral's name for it is "sequence contains ITS1, 5.8S rRNA gene and ITS2". The record is from RNAcentral. Lineage: Eukaryota; Viridiplantae; Streptophyta; Magnoliopsida; Brassicales; Brassicaceae.